Molecule: ribosomal RNA, 521 nt
Filed under: uncultured bacterium
Lineage: Bacteria
Description: bacterial SSU rRNA
Rfam family: Bacterial small subunit ribosomal RNA
Source: RNAcentral
AAUAGAUACCCGGGUAGUCCACGCCGUAAACGAUGAGUGCUAAGUGUUAGAGGGUUUCCGCCCUUUAGUGCUGAAGUUAACGCAUUAAGCACUCCGCCUGGGGAGUACGGCCGCAAGGCUGAAACUCAAAGGAAUUGACGGGGGCCCGCACAAGCGGUGGAGCAUGUGGUUUAAUUCGAAGCAACGCGAAGAACCUUACCAGGUCUUGACAUCCUCUGACAACCCUAGAGAUAGGGCUUCUCCUUCGGGAGCAGAGUGACAGGUGGUGCAUGGUUGUCGUCAGCUCGUGUCGUGAGAUGUUGGGUUAAGUCCCGCAACGAGCGCAACCCUUGAUCUUAGUUGCCAUCAUUCAGUUGGGCACUCUAAGGUGACUGCCGGUGACAAACCGGAGGAAGGUGGGGAUGACGUCAAAUCAUCAUGCCCCUUAUGACCUGGGCUACACACGUGCUACAAUGGACGGUACAAAGAGCUGCAAGACCGCGAGGUGGAGCUAAUCUCAUAAAACCCGUUCUCAGUUCGGA